This 75-nucleotide transfer RNA is filed under the name Acidaminococcus fermentans. RNAcentral's name for it is "tRNA-Arg". It matches the Rfam family "tRNA". From Rfam's summary of the family: Transfer RNA (tRNA) molecules are approximately 80 nucleotides in length. Their secondary structure includes four short double-helical elements and three loops (D, anti-codon, and T loops). RNAcentral also lists the same sequence under 8 other names. Lineage: Bacteria; Bacillati; Bacillota; Negativicutes; Acidaminococcales; Acidaminococcaceae. The record is from RNAcentral.
ACGCCCGUAGCUCAGUGGAUAGAGCAACGGCCUCCGGAGCCGUGUGCGGUGGUUCGAUUCCACUCGGGCGUACCA